This 763-nucleotide ribosomal RNA is filed under the name uncultured Streptococcus sp. RNAcentral describes it as "bacterial SSU rRNA". It matches the Rfam family "Bacterial small subunit ribosomal RNA", at positions 28 to 776 of the family's 1533-position model. The record is from RNAcentral. Lineage: Bacteria; Bacillati; Bacillota; Bacilli; Lactobacillales; Streptococcaceae.
GACGAACGCUGGCGGCGUGCCUAAUACAUGCAAGUAGAACGCUGAAGGAGGAGCUUGCUUCUCCGGAUGAGUUGCGAACGGGUGAGUAACGCGUAGGUAACCUGCCUGGUAGCGGGGGAUAACUAUUGGAAACGAUAGCUAAUACCGCAUAAGAGUAGAUGUUGCAUGACAUUUGCUUAAAAGGUGCAAUUGCAUCACUACCAGAUGGACCUGCGUUGUAUUAGCUAGUUGGUGGGGUAACGGCUCACCAAGGCGACGAUACAUAGCCGACCUGAGAGGGUGAUCGGCCACACUGGGACUGAGACACGGCCCAGACCCCUACGGGAGGCAGCAGUAGGGAAUCUUCGGCAAUGGACGGAAGUCUGACCGAGCAACGCCGCGUGAGUGAAGAAGGUUUUCGGAUCGUAAAGCUCUGUUGUAAGAGAAGAACGAGUGUGAGAGUGGAAAGUUCACACUGUGACGGUAUCUUACCAGAAAGGGACGGCUAACUACGUGCCAGCAGCCGCGGUAAUACGUAGGUCCCGAGCGUUGUCCGGAUUUAUUGGGCGUAAAGCGAGCGCAGGCGGUUAGAUAAGUCUGAAGUUAAAGGCUGUGGCUUAACCAUAGUACGCUUUGGAAACUGUUUAACUUGAGUGCAAGAGGGGAGAGUGGAAUUCCAUGUGUAGCGGUGAAAUGCGUAGAUAUAUGGAGGAACACCGGUGGCGAAAGCGGCUCUCUGGCUUGUAACUGACGCUGAGGCUCGAAAGCGUGGGGAGCAAACAGG